Molecule: ribosomal RNA, 581 nt
Filed under: uncultured bacterium
Lineage: Bacteria
Description: bacterial SSU rRNA
Rfam family: Bacterial small subunit ribosomal RNA
Source: RNAcentral
CUUGCUGCUUCGCUGACGAGUGGCGGACGGGUGAGAAAUGUCUGGGAAACUGCCUGAUGGAGGGGGAUAACUACUGGAAACGGUAGCUAAUACCGCAUAACGUCGCAAGACCAAAGAGGGGGACCUUCGGGCCUCUUGCCAUCGGAUGUGCCCAGAUGGGAUUAGCUAGUUGGUGGGGUAACGGCUCACCAAGGCGACGAUCCCUAGCUGGUCUGAGAGGAUGACCAGCCACACUGGAACUGAGACACGGUCCAGACUCCUACGGGAGGCAGCAGUGGGGAAUAUUGCACAAUGGGCGCAAGCCUGAUGCAGCCAUGCCGCGUGUAUGAAGAAGGCCUUCGGGUUGUAAAGUACUUUCAGCGGGGAGGAAGGGAGUAAAGUUAAUACCUUUGCUCAUUGACGUUACCCGCAGAAGAAGCACCGGCUAACUCCGUGCCAGCAGCCGCGGUAAUACGGAGGGUGCAAGCGUUAAUCGGAAUUACUGGGCGUAAAGCGCACGCAGGCGGUUUGUUAAGUCAGAUGUGAAAUCCCCGGGCUCAACCUGGGAACUGCAUCUGAUACUGGCAAGCUUGAGUCUUCGU